GUCUCUGAUGAUGAUUUAAGUUGAAAAACUUUCGUUCUUCUGAGAGAAAAUCCAUGAGGAAUGCUUUUGGAGACCUGAACUGAAGGGAC
Small nucleolar RNA from Corylus avellana, 89 nucleotides. RefSeq annotates it as small nucleolar RNA Z159/U59. The record is from RefSeq and is a predicted model, not a curated record. NCBI's taxonomy places the organism in Eukaryota, Viridiplantae, Streptophyta, Magnoliopsida, Fagales, Betulaceae.